RNAcentral lists this ribosomal RNA (484 nucleotides) under uncultured bacterium. RNAcentral's name for it is "partial 16S ribosomal RNA". It matches the Rfam family "Bacterial small subunit ribosomal RNA", at positions 30 to 507 of the family's 1533-position model. The record is from RNAcentral.
AUUGAACGCUGGCGGCAGGCCUAACACAUGCAAGUCGAGCGGAUGAAGGGAGCUUGCUCCUGGAUUCAGCGGCGGACGGGUGAGUAAUGCCUAGGAAUCUGCCUGGUCGUGGGGGAUAACGUCCGUAAACGGGCGCUAAUAUCGCAUACGACCUGAGGUAGAAAGUGGGGGAUCUUCGGACCUCACGCUACCAGAUGAGCCUAGGCCGGAUUAGCUAGUUGGUGGGGUAAAGGCCUACCAAGGCGACGAUCCGUAACUGAUCUGAGAGGAUGAUCAGUCACACUGGAACUGAGACACGGUCCAGACUCCUACGGGAGGCAGCAGUGGGGAAUAUUGGGCAAUGGGCGAAAGCCUGAUCCAGCCAUGCCGCGUGUGUGAAGAAGGUCUUCGGAUUGUAAAGCACUUUAAGUUGGGAAGAAGAGCAGUAAGUUAAUACCUGGCUGUUUUGACGUUACCAACAGAAUAAGCACCGGCUAACUUCGUG